Molecule: ribosomal RNA, 292 nt
Filed under: uncultured bacterium
Lineage: Bacteria
Also listed under: 1 other name
Description: partial 16S ribosomal RNA
Source: RNAcentral
GGACUACCCGGGUUUCUAAUCCUGUUUGCUCCCCAUGCUUUCGCACCUCAGCGUCAGUAUUAGGCCAGAAGGCUGCCUUCGCCAUCGGUAUUCCUCCAGAUCUCUACGCAUUUCACCGCUACACCUGGAAUUCUACCUUCCUCUCCCAUACUCUAGCUCGCCAGUAUCGAAUGCAAUUCCCAAGUUGAGCUCGGGGAUUUCACAUUUGACUUAACGAACCGCCUACGCGCGCUUUACGCCCAGUAAUUCCGAUUAACGCUCGCACCCUCUGUAUUACCGCGGCGGCUGGCAC